GUCACGAUGGCCGAGCGGUCUAAGGCGCCAGACUCAAGUUUCAAAACUUGCUCCGCUAAUGCGCAGCCAAAGGGCGUUCUGGUCCACUAAUGUGGGCGUGGGAUCGAAUCCCACUCCUGACA
This 122-nucleotide transfer RNA is filed under the name Paramuricea clavata. It matches the Rfam family "tRNA". Rfam says of the family: Transfer RNA (tRNA) molecules are approximately 80 nucleotides in length. Lineage: Eukaryota; Metazoa; Cnidaria; Anthozoa; Malacalcyonacea; Plexauridae. The record is from Rfam by way of RNAcentral.